CGAAAGCCUGACGGAGCAACGCCGCGUGUGGGAAGAAGGCUCUUGGGCUGUCAACCGCUUUUCUCAGGGAAGAAGUCCUGACGGUACCUGAGGAAUCAGCCUCGGCUAACUCCGUGCCAGCAGCCGCGGUAAUACGGAGGAGGCAAGCGUUAUCCGGAAUUAUUGGGCGUAAAGCGUCCGCAGGGGGCGCAUCAAGUCUGCUGUUAAAGGUCGGAGCUAAACUCCGGUAGAGCAGUGGAAACUGGCGCGCUAGAGGGCGACAGGGGUAGAGGGAAUUCCCGGUGUAGCGGUGAAAUGCGUAGAGAUCGGGAAGAACAUCGGUGGCGAAAGCGCUCUACUGGGCCGCAACUGACACUCAGGGACGAAAGCUAGGGGAGCG
Molecule: ribosomal RNA, 379 nt
Filed under: uncultured cyanobacterium
Lineage: Bacteria; Bacillati; Cyanobacteriota
Description: bacterial SSU rRNA
Rfam family: Bacterial small subunit ribosomal RNA
Source: RNAcentral